GACGAACGCUGGCGGCGUGCUUAACACAUGCAAGUCGAACGGAAAGGCCCUGAUUUUGUGGGGCGCUCGAGUGGCGAACGGGUGAGUAACACGUGAGUAACCCGCCCCUGACUUUGGGAUAACUUCUGGAAACUGGGGCUAAUACCGGAUAGGAGCUCCUGCUGCAUGGUGGGGGAUGGAAAGAUUCGGCGGUUGGGGAUGGACUCGCGGCUUAUCAGCUUGUUGGUGGGGUAGUGGCUUACCAAGGCUUUGACGAGUAGCCGGCCUGAGAGGGUGACCGGCCACAUUGGGACUGAGAUACGGCGCAGACUCCUACGGGAGGCAGCAGUGGGGAAUAUUGCACAAUGGGCGGAAGCCUGAUGCAGCAACGCCGCGUGCGGGAUGACGGCCUUCGGGUUGUAAACCGCUUUCGCCUGUGACGAAGAGUGAGUGACGGUAAUGGGUAAAGAAGCACCGGCUAACUACGUG
Molecule: ribosomal RNA, 468 nt
Filed under: uncultured bacterium
Lineage: Bacteria
Description: partial 16S ribosomal RNA
Rfam family: Bacterial small subunit ribosomal RNA
Source: RNAcentral